Molecule: long non-coding RNA, 1813 nt
Filed under: Lactuca sativa (garden lettuce)
Lineage: Eukaryota; Viridiplantae; Streptophyta; Magnoliopsida; Asterales; Asteraceae
Description: long non-coding RNA (LSAT_LNC005071)
Source: RNAcentral
AAAGGUUUAAUGUUCAAGUGGAGGAACCAAAAACGUUCAAAAACUACAUCAAAGACAUAAAAACAUUGUUCAAAUACAUAGGUAUUCCAUGAAAACAACUACCUAACUGUCUCAACCAUACCAUCUAUAUUAUCCAAAUUCUCAAGGCUAUAAAUGACUUUCUUGAAUAUUUUUUUAUUUUUUAAGAUUUGAGACUUUUUUUUGUGGAUUUUUUGUAUGGCCACACUUCUUUCUUCCUCUUCAGUAAUUAUGUACUAACAACAAAAUAAUAAUAAAAAAACUAUUCAAACAAAGCAACAACAACUAUGAUCCAAUUUUUUAAGCACAUUCUACUUUUCUAGUAUUAACUAAAAAUUUUCAGACAAAUACUAAGAAUAACAUGAUAAUAGAUCUAGAUCAUGGCAAUACCAUAAGAAUUUUGCAUCAUCAAAAUAAUAUUAGUAAUGUGAUUUUAUAUAAUAAUAUGAGUAUAAUUAUUUGCAAUAUUUAAAAUUCAAUAAUUAUAUAAAAUAGAAAUCAUUAACCAUUUCACAAGUCUUUAUAAUUUCAAAGUACAAUGGUGUAAUAGCAAGAACUUAAAGUAGGAUGCUACAAUGAACAAAUAAGUGAAAAUACAUUGUUAUUUCUUGCAUUCAACCCUUUCAUUUAUUAUGAUAAACAUUAAAUUGUAGAUUUCAAGUAAUGGCAAGAGAGAUGCAACAAGCAUUGUAUAAAAUGGGAUUUCCAUUAACAAAAAAAACAAUUAUGAAAGUAGGAUGCUACAGUAAACUAAUAAAUGUAAGUAUAUUACUAUGUUUGAUACUUUCAUCCUUUAUUUUAGUGGAUUCAAAUUUUUAUAGAAUGAUUUUUAAAUAAAUCAAAUCACGAUUCAAUAUGAUUUUCAAGGUUAUUAUAAGGUAUAGUUCCUUUCAUGUUAAUAGUAUAUUUGUUAGUAGUAAUCCCAUCAAUUAUCUGUAUAUUAUCAUGUUAUCUUCACCUUGAACUAUAACAUAAUGGUAUUUUAGUUUCUAAAUGUAUCUAGCACUCAUUAAAUCUAUAAUCACAAAUUUCUAUCUUAACAUUUUAACUAAAUUUAUGAUACACGAUCUAUUUGACCUCUACAUCAAUACACUUUGUAUUCCAUAUUAAGAUGGUAUCUGACAUUUUUAUAAAAAAUUAAUUUCAAGGAAAAACCAAUGGUUGUUUUCAUAAGAAACUACAUCAGUACUUAUCAUAUAUAUAAACAAAUGAAAAGAAAACCAAAAUCUUUAAGAAUUCAAAAUUUCCAUAUGUUGUUUCUUUGAGACAUUAUAUCGAACAACUGAUAAGCAUCAUUAUAUUAAGCUUCAGUUUGAUGCAUUUAUCUAACUUCUUUAUCCAGAAAGUUGUUCAAAACACAAAAACUUAAAAGAAUUGAUAUGAAUUUCAUAAAUAUUAAAUAUUAAAUCAACAAGAAGAUGGGUUCAAAUUGUUACACCCUGGUUUUACCAACAUAUCACAUUACAAACUCAAAAAAUUGAACUAAUAAAACAUAAGCACAAUAAUAGAGUUUUGUUACCUGCUCUCAUGAUAAAUUUGUAUGUUAAAUCCAAUCUUAAAUAGUAUUAUUCACUCUUGGAUGAACGAUUGCAAAUUUGUAAACUUUAUUAGGGUUUUGAUGCAGCUUUGGAUGGACAGUCGAACCAAAAUAAAGCUAAACCAUGGAGAUUCAAAGGCGAUUUUAAGAAUCUACAUAGAUUUCUGAAGCGAUUGAUGCUUGAAUGAUGAUCGAGAAUGGAGAAUGGAGAAGAAGAGAGUAGAACGAAGGAUUUUCAGCUUGAAUGUAGAUGGAAAC